GACGAACGCUGGCGGCGUGCUUAACACAUGCAAGUCGAACGAUGAAGCACCAGCUUGCUGGUGUGGAUUAGUGGCGAACGGGUGAGUAACACGUGAGUAACCUGCCCCUCACUCUGGGAUAAGCCUGGGAAACUGGGUCUAAUACUGGAUACGACCGAUCUCCGCAUGGAGUGUUGGUGGAAAGUUUUUGUGGUGGGGGAUGGACUCGCGGCCUAUUAGCUUGUUGGUGGGGUAAUGGCCUACCAAGGCGACGACGGGUAGCCGGCCUGAGAGGGCGACCGGCCACACUGGGACUGAGACACGGCCCAGACUCCUACGGGAGGCAGCAGUGGGGAAUAUUGCACAAUGGGCGAAAGCCUGAUGCAGCGACGCCGCGUGAGGGAUGACGGCCUUCGGGUUGUAAACCUCUUUCACCAGGGACGAAGCUAACGUGACGGUACCUGGAGAAGAAGCACCGGCUAACUACGUG
This 469-nucleotide ribosomal RNA is filed under the name uncultured bacterium. Its description in RNAcentral is "partial 16S ribosomal RNA". It matches the Rfam family "Bacterial small subunit ribosomal RNA", at positions 28 to 507 of the family's 1533-position model. The record is from RNAcentral.